Molecule: non-coding RNA, 1340 nt
Organism: Doryrhamphus excisus (bluestripe pipefish)
Lineage: Eukaryota; Metazoa; Chordata; Actinopteri; Syngnathiformes; Syngnathidae
Source: RefSeq, a predicted model, not a curated record
UGUCCCGCAAACUGCCCCGCUCGUUCGUCCUACAUUGUCCAGGCUCUCCCCCUGCGUCAUGAAUAAGGAGGCUGUUACCGCCUGUUGUUUGUCAAUGGAUGGCCCUCACUGCUUGGGGAAAACACUUGAAACUUGCCAGGGAGACACGGAACAUGAAGGACACUGGCAUCGUCUCCGUCUCUUCCCUCCUGAAUUUGACGCCACUCUAUCCACUGAAUCGUUAACUCUGAAGAUAAAGGAUGUGAUACAUCUUAUCGAUCAGGAUUCAUCAAUUCUUUUCAAGCUCUUAUCUCUUAAGUGCAAAUCCCGUCUCAAGUGGAGACGGUGUUGUUAUAAAUCCAUCAAAACCACCCCCUCCCGCCCGGAGUGGCGACAGCUGCCGGGCUGCCUUGGUGGAGAAGUGGAGAGAGCCGCCGGCUCUUAAUCAAGUUCUACAUCCAUGGAGGAGGGCGCCAGAAGCCGGGGUGGGAAGGUGGUCCACUUUCCCCCUUUGGGUGACUGUCGCUCCUGACACGAGUCGCGGCUACCAUGAUGCCACUCUUCAGAGAAGAUGCAAAGAGGACAACAACUUGCAAGCGGCCACCUUAAAUACCCUUUCUCAUGAUUGGCUUCGGUGCAAUGCAUGCUGGUCUGUUCGUCUUCUCUGUAUGACAAGAUGAUGUCGAUGGAUGACUCAUUGCUGUUACAGUAUGUCCUCGUCAACACGUCCAUAAUGUUUUUUCAUCUCAAAGGUCAGGGUAUAAAAAGUAAAAUGAGGCAAUACCGGACAUCAAGCCAACAACACAGAAACACACACUAAAGACAAACAUGGCGGCGCUGACCCCAGCGAUGGUAGAUGGAGCGCCAGCAGCCAUUAGCGUGGCCCCUUAUCUGCUUUAUGACUUCCUUUAUUUGUGUACUUUGACUUUCGCUGUAAAGCUCCGUCAAAUCCCCCCCUCCCCCCGUCUGCUCCCCUGUGCACCAUGGUCAAAGGUCAGAGCCCAAAUUUUGGUCAACACUUUAGCGCAUAAAGCUAAAUGGCAUUCGACCUGGUGGCGGCGCCGUUCUCUGGCUGAGUGCCCCAACCUUCCAGCUGUAGUUAAACUUUUCCAAGAGCGAAGCUGUGACUCGCUUGGCUGAAGCAGGUAUCGCAUAACCAUGUUUGAAUCCGAGUCAGGACCUUUGUAGUAUUCCCUACUCUAGGACUUCCUAUCUGUCGUAACAAUAAAAUCCAAAGACAACAAUAAUCCUGUCGAGGGCUGGACUUGAUUUACUUCUUAACUACUGUGGGUUAGGACUUAGCACAGCGGCUAACACAUUAGCAUAAUGGUCAUAGAAAUCAACUAUUCCAGGGUUACCAU